RNAcentral lists this ribosomal RNA (433 nucleotides) under uncultured bacterium. RNAcentral's name for it is "partial 16S ribosomal RNA". It matches the Rfam family "Bacterial small subunit ribosomal RNA", at positions 29 to 507 of the family's 1533-position model. The record is from RNAcentral.
AACGAACGCUGGCGGCAUGCCUAACACAUGCAAGUCGAACGAGACCUUCGGGUCUAGUGGCGCACGGGUGCGUAACGCGUGGGAAGCUGCCCUUAGGUUCGGAAUAACUCCCCGAAAGGGGUGCUAAUACCGGAUAAUGUCUUCGGACCAAAGAUUUAUCGCCUUUGGAUGGGCCCGCGUUGGAUUAGCUAGUUGGUAGGGUAAAAGCCUACCAAGGCGACGAUCCAUAGCUGGUCUGAGAGGAUGAUCAGCCACACUGGGACUGAGACACGGCCCAGACUCCUACGGGAGGCAGCAGUGGGGAAUAUUGGACAAUGGGCGAAAGCCUGAUCCAGCAAUGCCGCGUGAGUGAUGAAGGCCUUAGGGUUGUAAAGCUCUUUUACCCGGGAUGAUAAUGACAGUACCGGGAGAAUAAGCGCCGGCUAACUCCGUG